This 381-nucleotide long non-coding RNA is filed under the name Heterocephalus glaber (naked mole-rat). Its description in RNAcentral is "lncRNA (ENSHGLG00100050720.1)". Lineage: Eukaryota; Metazoa; Chordata; Mammalia; Rodentia; Bathyergidae. The record is from RNAcentral.
GUCCAGAGAUGGCCAUAAGAAGAUGACUUCAAGGCUUGCUACUGGCUUCCAGGGUCUUCCUUUCUCCAGAGAUAGUCUCGUGGCUGGCAGUGGACUUAAAAAAAGGAUGUUUGGGCAGACAAAUAAGACCCAAAGGACAGAGGAGACUACCAGAUUGUUGGAACCAUUCUGAUUUGGCACUUUAUCUGUCACCAAGAUUUGCUGAGAGCUGGAGUCCCAACAGCAGCAAAGGGCACAGAGUCUGAAAUCCACAGAAACAGGAGAUUAAACCCAGGGAGUAUGGAGCUACAUUCCUAGCCGUGUAUGUAUUUAUGUAUGUAUGUAUUUUAUUUUUAAAAAAAUAAAGUCUGGCUAAGUUGCCCUGGAUGGCCUCAAACUUGC